Molecule: non-coding RNA, 358 nt
Organism: Podarcis lilfordi (Lilford's wall lizard)
Lineage: Eukaryota; Metazoa; Chordata; Lepidosauria; Squamata; Lacertidae
Source: the annotation of a GenBank genome assembly
GUCGUUUAUCUCCUGUCUGGCAAGUUACCUGUUAAUGCUUACUGGAUUGAUACCCUGGGGAGCCUGGCCAGUCUUUUGUAAUGAUAAGUACUUAGUUCCUGAGCCACCCUAUUCAUAGGCUCACCCUAUUCAUACACAGAUAUUCCCUUAAGACAGGAUUUGUGAAGGAAGAAGCAAUAGGGAGGCUCCUCCAUUUGACCUUGCAGAGAAUACACCUGGUCAGCCUGGGAGUCAAAAUGGCUCCAUAGCUGCUUUCCUGUGCAGCUUCAGACAUGUGGCCUAUAUAUCUAUGUACGUGUUUGCUUGGUACAUUUAUGAACCUUUAUUAUAUACAUAAGACCUUAAUUUAUUUAUUUCA